GUGUUUCCUUCGGGAGACGCUUAGGUUAGCGGCGGACGGGUGAGUAACACGUAGGCAACCUGCCUGUAAAACCGGGAUAACUUGCGGAAACGUGAGCUAAUACCGGAUAGCUGGUUUCUUCGCAUGAAGAAGUCAUGAAAGACGGGGCAACCUGUCACUUACAGAUGGGCCUGCGGCGCAUUAGCUGGUUGGUAGGGUAACGGCUUACCAAGGCGACAAUGCGUAGCCAACCUGAGAGGGUGAACGGCCACACUGGGACUGAAACACGGCCCAAACUCCUACGGGAGGCAGCAGUAGGGAAUCUUCCGCAAUGGACGAAAGUCUGACGGAGCAACGCCGCGUGAGUGAUGAAGGUUUUCGGAUCGUAAAGCUCUGUUGCCAAGGAAAAACGGCCAGGGGAGUAACUGCCCCUGGAGUGACGGUACUUGAGAAAAAAGCCCCGGCUAACUACGUGCCAGCAGCCGCGGUAAUACGUAGGGGGCAAGCGUUGUCCGGAAUUAUUGGGCGUAAAGCGCGCGCAGGCGGUCUUUUAAGUCUGGUGUUUAAGCCCGGGGCUCAACCCCGGUUCGCACUGGAAACUGGGAGACUUGAGUGUAGGAGAGGAAAGUGGAAUUCCACGUGUAGCGGUGAAA
Molecule: ribosomal RNA, 632 nt
Filed under: Paenibacillus larvae
Lineage: Bacteria; Bacillati; Bacillota; Bacilli; Caryophanales; Paenibacillaceae
Description: bacterial SSU rRNA
Rfam family: Bacterial small subunit ribosomal RNA
Source: RNAcentral